This 63-nucleotide transfer RNA is filed under the name Pseudoniphargus brevipedunculatus. RNAcentral's name for it is "tRNA-Ile". Lineage: Eukaryota; Metazoa; Arthropoda; Malacostraca; Amphipoda; Allocrangonyctidae. The record is from RNAcentral.
AAUAAAGUACCUAUUUAAGGAUCUACACUGAUAAAGUAGACAUGCAUUUUUCAGCCUUUAUUG